AGUGAACGCCGGCGGUAGGCCUAACACAUGCAAGUCGAACGGCAGCACAGGAGAGCUUGCUCUCUGGGUGGCGAGUGGCGGACGGGUGAGGAAUACAUCGGAAUCUACUCUGUCGUGGGGGAUAACGUAGGGAAACUUACGCUAAUACCGCAUACGACCUACGGGUGAAAGCAGGGGACCUUCGGGCCUUGCGCGAUUGAAUGAGCCGAUGUCGGAUUAGCUAGUUGGCGGGGUAAAGGCCCACCAAGGCGACGAUCCGUAGCUGGUCUGAGAGGAUGAUCAGCCACACUGGAACUGAGAAACGGUCCAGACUCCGACGGGAGGCAGCAGUGGGGAAUAUUGGACAAUGGGCGCAAGCCUGAUCCAGCCAUACCGCGUGGGUGAAGAAGGCCUUCGGGUUGUAAAGCCCUUUUGUUGGGAAAGAAAUCCAGCUGGCUAAUACCCGGUUGGGACGACGGUACCCAAAGAAUAAGCACCGGCUAACUUCGUGCCAGCCGCCGCGGUAA
Molecule: ribosomal RNA, 506 nt
Filed under: uncultured bacterium
Lineage: Bacteria
Description: partial 16S ribosomal RNA
Rfam family: Bacterial small subunit ribosomal RNA
Source: RNAcentral